Molecule: small RNA, 648 nt
Filed under: Pongo abelii (Sumatran orangutan)
Lineage: Eukaryota; Metazoa; Chordata; Mammalia; Primates; Hominidae
Description: sense overlapping
Rfam family: SOX2 overlapping transcript exon 2 (bases 540-608)
Source: RNAcentral
GAGGGGAAAGGCAUAGAGAAAAAGGGGAGAAGACACUCUUGCAAAAGAAGGGAGAAACAGAAGCAAUAGCUCCUUACAUUUCCUCAGAAAGGGAGAGUGAGAAAGCUUGAUUAUUUUCUAGGAAAUGGUAUGUAGAAAGGUUUGGCAGGAGGUGAGUUUAUGAGGGAAUUUGAAAGUAUUAAAGGGAAAGUUACUUCUCUGAAAAAGCAAGAAGAGACAGAGACACAAGAGCGAAGGAGAAGAAAGUUUUGUUAUGAACAUGCUUGAAGUUUUGCCAACAUUCUGGACAUAUGUAAACAGAGUGCUCAAUGGAACAUCUGUCUGCUGCAGCCACUACUUCCUUCAUUGGACUGCAAGGUAUUUCUGUUUGGAAAAGUAAUGGAGUCCAGUCAACUUCAUUGAUCUCCAAGGACUGUCAAAAUUAUAAAACUUGCUGUGGAGCUCUGACAUGCCAGAAGCCGCUAGAAAAAGAAGUUUGACAUUCAGAAACUUAUCAAGAGGUUCUACUCUUUGGAUAGAGACCAAAAUAAUACUUUGAAAAAGCCUGACAGGUUUCUUCGGAAAAGUGGCCAUCCAUGGAAUGAAUGAAAUGUUCUCUUUCUAUUCCAGGGAUUGCAGUGGCAAAGCUAGGCUAGGUCUUGGAGGCUG